UUUAUUAAAAUUUAAAUACCAUCACAGAAGAUAAUAAUAAAUUGUAAUCGGCAAAUAGCAAUGCCGGCUUUUUUUUUUUUAAUGCUUAAUUAAGAUAGGUGGGAGGUGGGGCCUGGGUACGGCUGCUGUGGAGGUGAUUGGGUUGGUGUAAUUAAAGGUGCGGAUUGCGAGUCGUUUUCAUUAUCCAAAAGAGUAUGUGAAUUUUGCCACGGGUGUGUGACGCUGACGCACUUGUUAAAGGAGGCAUUUUUUUUCUACUAUUUAUGUUCAAAAAUUACAAAAUUCAAAUGCAACAAUUUUUUCCUUUUUAAGCUCAUCCGUGCCGAUCUUAGUAUAAAAGAAUUUAAAUUUUUACUAAUUAUAUUUGAAGUCUAUUUGAUACCAUAGCGUGAGAUUCCCGCUUUUAUUUUUUUGUGAUUCCACUUUGGUUCAUUUUUUUUUCAUAAUUUUUUUAAUAAUCUUUUUAAGUAUGAAAAAUUAACUAUAUGAACAAUUCGACCGGAUCUAUAUACCAAUAAUGAAAUACGGCUCGCAAAAUUGAUUUGUGAAGAGUACAAGCAACAAUCAAGUUUAAUCUUGUCCCCUUAUUAUGUAGCAAUUCAUAAUGGUAGGGAUUUCAAAAAUUAAUUAAUCCUUUCUUACACCUAAGGGUAACUCCCAUUUUGAAAUUCAGUAAGAGAUAAAUGAACACAUAAACCCUUAGUUUGCCACCAAUUAGCGUCGAUUUAUUCGAAGAAAUAACUUCAAAUGAAACGGUUAUAAUAAGUAUCACAACAUUUCUAUGGUCCGUUAAACAUUCUUUCAUGUAAU
Molecule: long non-coding RNA, 810 nt
Filed under: Citrus x clementina
Lineage: Eukaryota; Viridiplantae; Streptophyta; Magnoliopsida; Sapindales; Rutaceae
Description: Citrus clementina (C. clementina) long non-coding RNA (CCLE_LNC001986)
Source: RNAcentral